RNAcentral lists this ribosomal RNA (468 nucleotides) under uncultured bacterium. RNAcentral's name for it is "partial 16S ribosomal RNA". It matches the Rfam family "Bacterial small subunit ribosomal RNA", at positions 28 to 507 of the family's 1533-position model. The record is from RNAcentral.
GACGAACGCUGGCGGCGUGCUUAACACAUGCAAGUCGAACGGUAAGGCCCUGCUUUUGUUGGGUGCUCGAGUGGCGAACGGGUGAGUAACACGUGAGUAACCUGCCCUUUACUUUGGGAUAACUUCAGGAAACUGUGGCUAAUACCGUAUAGGAGCUCCUGCUGCAUGGUGGUGGUUGGAAAGUUUCGGUGGUUGGGGAUGCACUCGCGGCUUCUCAGCUUGUUGGUGGGGUAGUGGCUCACCAAGGCCUUGACGGGUAGCCGGCCUGAGAGGGUGACCGGCCACAUGGGGACUGAGAAAGGGCCAGGACUCCAACGGGGGGCAGCAGUGGGGAAUAUUGCAAAAUGGGCGGAAGCCGGAUGCAGCAACGCCGCGUGGGGGAUGACGGCCUUCGGGUUGUAAACCGCUUUCGCCUGGAACGAAGCGUGAGUGACGGUAACGGGUGAAGAAGCACCGGCUAACUACGUG